AUGUUAAUGGCAUACUUUGGGCAGUGUGGGCAGUCAGUCAGCCUUAUGGAAACUUUAUUAAAGGGAAGAUGUUUUCCAGGCUUUGUUUUUUCUCAUGGACUGAACAUCAUUGGAGACCAGAAGAAAACCAGGAUGUCCCCGGACCUAAGACACAGGCUGUAUUCAUGGAAGUAUACACAUAGGAAGCCAAUAGUAUUCAAGAGAUUGCUUCAGAAAAGAGCAUAGAAGGCAAACCAAAAAGGAAAGAAAAAUAAAUAAAUAACCAACUCAGCA
RNAcentral lists this long non-coding RNA (273 nucleotides) under Anser cygnoides (Swan goose). RNAcentral describes it as "lncRNA (ENSACDG00005012521.1)". The record is from RNAcentral. Lineage: Eukaryota; Metazoa; Chordata; Aves; Anseriformes; Anatidae.